AAAGCGCACGCAGGCGGUCUGUCAAGUCGGAUGUGAAAUCCCCGGGCUCAACCUGGGAACUGCAUUCGAAACUGGCAGGCUAGAGUCUUGUAGAGGGGGGUAGAAUUCCAGGUGUAGCGGUGAAAUGCGUAGAGAUCUGGAGGAAUACCGGUGGCGAAGGCGGCCCCCUGGACAAAGACUGACGCUCAGGUGCGAAAGCGUGGGGAGCAAACAGGAUUAGAUACCCUGGUAGUCCACGCCGUAAACGAUGUCGAUUUGGAGGUUGUGCCCUUGAGGCGUGCUUCCGGAGCUAACGCGUUAAAUCGACCGCCUGGGGAGUACGGCCGCAAGGUUAAAACUCAAAUGAAUUGACGGGGGCCCGCACAAGCGGUGGAGCAUGUGGUUUAAUUCGAUGCAACGCGAAGAACCUUACCUGGUCUUGACAUCCACAGAACUUUCCAGAGAUGGAUUGGUGCCUUCGGGAACUGUGAGACAGGUGCUGCAUGGCUGUCGUCAGCUCGUGUUGUGAAAUGUUGGGUUAAGUCCCGCAACGAGCGCAACCCUUAUC
Molecule: ribosomal RNA, 547 nt
Filed under: Klebsiella pneumoniae
Lineage: Bacteria; Pseudomonadati; Pseudomonadota; Gammaproteobacteria; Enterobacterales; Enterobacteriaceae
Description: bacterial SSU rRNA
Rfam family: Bacterial small subunit ribosomal RNA
Source: RNAcentral